GUGGUCCCGAGUGGAAGGGCCAUCGCUCAACGGAUAAAAGGUACGCCGGGGAUAACAGGCUGAUGAUUCCCAAGAGCUCAUAUCGACGGAAUCGUUUGGCACCUCGAUGUCGGCUCAUCACAUCCUGGGGCUGAAGCCGGUCCCAAGGGUAUGGCUGUUCGCCAUUUAAAGUGGUACGCGAGCUGGGUUUAGAACGUCGUGAGACAGUUCGGUCCCUAUCUGCCGUGGGUGUAGGAUACUUGAGAGGAGUUGCCCCUAGUACGAGAGGACCGGGGUGAACGAUCCACUGGUGGACCUGUUGUGGCGCCAGCCGCAGUGCAGGGUAGCUAUGAUCGGAAAGGAUAACCGCUGAAGGCAUCUAAGCGGGAAGCCCCCCUCAAAACAAGGUAUCCCUGAGAGCCGAGGUAGACCACCUCGUCGAUAGGCCAGAGAUGUAAGCGUAGUAAUACGUUCAGUUGACUGGUACUAAUGGCUCGAU
This 478-nucleotide ribosomal RNA is filed under the name Schmidingerella taraikaensis. RNAcentral describes it as "partial Bacterial large subunit ribosomal RNA". It matches the Rfam family "Bacterial large subunit ribosomal RNA", at positions 2423 to 2913 of the family's 2925-position model. The record is from RNAcentral. Lineage: Eukaryota; Ciliophora; Spirotrichea; Tintinnida; Rhabdonellidae.